AAUAGAUACCCGGGUAGUCCACGCCGUAAACGAUGUCGACUUGGAGGUUGUUCCCUUGAGGAGUGGCUUCCGGAGCUAACGCGUUAAGUCGACCGCCUGGGGAGUACGGCCGCAAGGUUAAAACUCAAAUGAAUUGACGGGGGCCCGCACAAGCGGUGGAGCAUGUGGUUUAAUUCGAUGCAACGCGAAGAACCUUACCUACUCUUGACAUCCAGAGAACUUGGCAGAGAUGCUUUGGUGCCUUCGGGAACUCUGAGACAGGUGCUGCAUGGCUGUCGUCAGCUCGUGUUGUGAAAUGUUGGGUUAAGUCCCGCAACGAGCGCAACCCUUAUCCUUUGUUGCCAGCGAUUCGGUCGGGAACUCAAAGGAGACUGCCAGUGAUAAACUGGAGGAAGGUGGGGAUGACGUCAAGUCAUCAUGGCCCUUACGAGUAGGGCUACACACGUGCUACAAUGGCGCAUACAAAGAGAAGCGACCUCGCGAGAGCAAGCGGACCUCAUAAAGUGCGUCGUAGUCCGGA
Molecule: ribosomal RNA, 520 nt
Filed under: uncultured bacterium
Lineage: Bacteria
Description: bacterial SSU rRNA
Rfam family: Bacterial small subunit ribosomal RNA
Source: RNAcentral